This 250-nucleotide ribosomal RNA is filed under the name uncultured bacterium. RNAcentral's name for it is "partial 16S ribosomal RNA". It matches the Rfam family "Bacterial small subunit ribosomal RNA", at positions 524 to 773 of the family's 1533-position model. The record is from RNAcentral.
UACGAAGGGAGCUAGCGUUGUUCGGAAUUACUGGGCGUAAAGGGCGCGUAGGCGGUUUAACAAGUCAGGUGUGAAAGCCCUGGGCUCAACCCGGGAACUGCGCUUGAUACUGUUAAUCUUGAAUUCGGGAGAGGUUGGUGGAAUUCCCAGUGUAGAGGUGAAAUUCGUAGAGAUUGGGAAGAACACCCGUGGCGAAGGCGGCCAACUGGACCGACAUUGACGCUGAGGCGCGAAAGCGUGGGGAGCAAAC